GAGUUGCGAACGGGUGAGUAACGCGUAGGUAACCUGCCUGGUAGCGGGGGAUAACUAUUGGAAACGAUAGCUAAUACCGCAUAACAGUAGAUAUCGCAUGAUAUUUGCUUAAAAGGUGCAAUUGCACCACUACCAGAUGGACCUGCGUUGUAUUAGCUAGUUGGUGAGGUAACGGCUCACCAAGGCAACGAUACAUAGCCGACCUGAGAGGGUGAUCGGCCACAAGGGGACUGAGACACGGCCCUUACUCC
RNAcentral lists this ribosomal RNA (251 nucleotides) under uncultured Streptococcus sp. Its description in RNAcentral is "partial 16S ribosomal RNA". It matches the Rfam family "Bacterial small subunit ribosomal RNA", at positions 93 to 339 of the family's 1533-position model. Lineage: Bacteria; Bacillati; Bacillota; Bacilli; Lactobacillales; Streptococcaceae. The record is from RNAcentral.